UACGGGGGGGGCAAGCGUUGUUCGGAAUUACUGGGCGUAAAGGGCUCGUAGGUGGCCAACUAAGUCACACGUGAAAUCCCUCGGCUUAACCGGAGAACUGCGUCUGAUACUGGAUGGCUUGAGUUUGGGAGAGGGACGCGGAAUUCCAGGUGUAGCGGUGAAAUGCGUAGAUAUCUGGAGGAACACCGGUGGCGAAGGCGGCGUCCUGGACCAAUACUGACACUGAGUGAGCGAAAGCCAGGGGAGCAAACGGG
This 254-nucleotide ribosomal RNA is filed under the name uncultured bacterium. RNAcentral describes it as "partial 16S ribosomal RNA". It matches the Rfam family "Bacterial small subunit ribosomal RNA", at positions 524 to 776 of the family's 1533-position model. The record is from RNAcentral.